AGGGCACCACCAGGAGUGGAGCCUGCGGCUUAAUUUGACUCAACACGGGAAAUCUCACCAGGCCCGGACACCGGAAGGAUUGACAGAUUGAGAGCUCUUUCUUGAUUCGGUGGGUGGUGGUGCAUGGCCGUUCUUAGUUGGUGGAGCGAUUUGUCUGGUUAAUUCCGAUAACGAACGAGACUCUGGCCUACUAACUAGACGUUGGAUCCCUUUGUGGGUCCAUCGCAGCUUCUUAGAGGGGCGGGCGGCGUUUAGCCGCACGAGAUUGAGCAAUAACAGGUCUGUGGUGCCCUUAGAUGUUCUGGGCUGCACGCGCGCUACACUGAAGGAAUCAGCGUGUGUUCCCUAUCCGAAAGGAUUGGGAAACCCGUUGAACCUCCUUCGUGAUGGGGAUUGGGGAUUGCAAUUAUUCCCCAUGAACGAGGAAUUCCCAGUAGGCGCGAGUCAUAAGCUUGCGUCGAUUACGUCCCUGCCCUUUGUACACACCGCCCGUCGCUACUACCGAUCGAGUGAUUUAGU
This 519-nucleotide ribosomal RNA is filed under the name uncultured eukaryote. RNAcentral describes it as "SSU rRNA". It matches the Rfam family "Eukaryotic small subunit ribosomal RNA", at positions 1161 to 1702 of the family's 1831-position model. The record is from RNAcentral.